AGUGAACGCUGGCGGUAGGCCUAACACAUGCAAGUCGAACGGCAGCACAGGAGAGCUUGCUCUCUGGGUGGCGAGUGGCGGACGGGUGGGGAAUACAUCGGAAUCUACUCUGUCGUGGGGGAUAACGUAGGGAAACUUACGCUAAUACCGCAUACGACCUACGGGUGAAAGCAGGGGACCUUCGGGCCUUGCGCAAUUGAAUGAGCCGAUGUCGGAUUAGCUAGUUGGCGGGGUAAAGGCCCACCAAGGCGACGAUCCGUAGCUGGUCUGAGAGGAUGAUCAGCCACACUGGAACUGAGACACGGUCCAGACUCCUACGGGAGGCAGCAGUGGGGAAUAUUGGACAAUGGGCGCAAGCCUGAUCCAGCCAUACCGCGUGGGUGAAGAAGGCCUUCGGGUUGUAAAGCCCUUUUGUUGGGAAAGAAAUCCAGCUGGCUAAUACCCGGUUGGGAUGACGGUACCCAAAGAAUAAGCACCGGCUAACUUCGUGCCAGCAGCCGACGUAA
Molecule: ribosomal RNA, 506 nt
Filed under: uncultured bacterium
Lineage: Bacteria
Description: partial 16S ribosomal RNA
Rfam family: Bacterial small subunit ribosomal RNA
Source: RNAcentral